RNAcentral lists this ribosomal RNA (665 nucleotides) under uncultured fungus. RNAcentral describes it as "eukaryotic LSU rRNA". The stretch from base 251 to 404 matches the Rfam family "5.8S ribosomal RNA". The record is from RNAcentral. Lineage: Eukaryota; Fungi.
AGUAAAAGUCGUAACAAGGUUUCCGUAGGUGAACCUGCGGAAGGAUCAUUAACGAGUUUUGAAAGGGGUUGUAGCUGGCUUCAAACGAGGCAUGUGCACACCCUGCUCAUCCACCCUCAACCUCUGUGCACUUACUGUAGGUCGGUUGAUGGCUCAGUUGUGGCAACACUCUGGGUUUGAAGCCUUCCUAUGUUUUACUACAAACGCUUUAGUUAUAGAAUGUUACUCUGCGUAUAACGCAUCUAUAUACAACUUUCAGCAACGGAUCUCUUGGCUCUCGCAUCGAUGAAGAACGCAGCGAAAUGCGAUAAGUAAUGUGAAUUGCAGAAUUCAGUGAAUCAUCGAAUCUUUGAACGCACCUUGCGCUCCUUGGUAUUCCGAGGAGCACAUCCGUUUGAGUGUCAUGGUAUUCUCAACCUCAAUAACUUUUGUUACUGAGGCUUGGACUUGGAGGUCGUGCUGGCUCUCGUUAGUCAGCUCCUCUUAAAUGCAUUAGCGUGAACGUUACGGAUCGCUAUCAGUGUGAUAAUUAUCUGCGCUGUUAGUGUUGAAGCAUCAUUAGUGUCGCGCUUCUAACCGUCCUUCACGGGACAAUUUACUUUGACAUCUGACCUCAAAUCAGGCGGGACUACCCGCUGAACUUAAGCAUAUCAAUAAGCGGAGGA